ACACCCAUGCUAUUUAACAAACAUAAUAAAUUGCAUGAUUUAUCGAAUGCUCGGUGCUAAUUAAACCCAAGUAUAUUAGAUAUGUUAAUCAAAACCUAUGGGGAAUACUGGUUUGUACUUUUGACAACAAGCCAGUUGAAUUCAACCAGCAUGUAAUGCAAUAGUGUUUGUUUUUUUUAAUUAUUUUUUAUAAUUCAUUAAAGAUGAGGGGAGAA
This 215-nucleotide long non-coding RNA is filed under the name Elaeis guineensis (African oil palm). RNAcentral's name for it is "long non-coding RNA (EGUI_LNC017554)". Lineage: Eukaryota; Viridiplantae; Streptophyta; Magnoliopsida; Arecales; Arecaceae. The record is from RNAcentral.